Molecule: ribosomal RNA, 271 nt
Filed under: uncultured bacterium
Lineage: Bacteria
Description: partial 16S ribosomal RNA
Rfam family: Bacterial small subunit ribosomal RNA
Source: RNAcentral
UCGAACGAGGUUACUUAUUUAAGCUUGCUUAAGUAAUUAACCUAGUGGCAAACGGGUGAGUAACACGUGGGAAUCUACCCAUCAGUACGGAACAACCCUUGGAAACAAGAGCUAAUACCGUAUAUUCUCUUCGGAGGAAAGAUUUAUCGCUGAUGGAUGAGCCCGCGUCAGAUUAGCUUGUUGGUGAGGUAAUGGCUCACCAAGGCUUUGAUCUGUAGCUGGUUUGAGAGAAUGAUCAGCCACACUGGAACUGAGACACGGUCCAGACUCC